This is a long non-coding RNA of Hevea brasiliensis (rubber tree), 1488 nucleotides long. RefSeq lists it as uncharacterized. The transcript is spliced from 2 exons. The record is from RefSeq and is a predicted model, not a curated record. NCBI's taxonomy places the organism in Eukaryota, Viridiplantae, Streptophyta, Magnoliopsida, Malpighiales, Euphorbiaceae.
UCUAGAGAUGAUCAAAUUAGGAUCUCAAACAAUAGCUACAAUUUAGGAGGUCUUGCCAGAUGAAGAUUACUCUUCAAUAGAAGUCACUGAAUCCCAUGUUAGGUUACAGAAAGUAUUUGGAAGGAAAUAAGCUUUAGUAAAUACGGGGGUCAAUUGACUGAACUGAUUGUGGAUAAAAUUUGUGUGGCAGCUAAACAAGAAUAAUUCACUAUCUCCCUUAUAAUACAUUAUCAUUAGCAGUUUCUUCCAAACAAGAAUCCCCUUAGCUCCCCCACUCUCUCUUUUCUUCCCCCAGACAAAGAAGAGCACUCCUUGUUUUACCAUUUGAGAGUACCUAUUGGCAAAAGGGACACCAAAUGACAGUAGCAUUGGCUAGGGCAGCCCAGAGGAUGGACCUGAAAUACUUUUUAAUGCCAGUGGUCACUGGUUGGUAAUUAGUUCAAUAAAGCUCAAGGAAUUUUGUUGGGAAGUAUCCUUUCAUGCCAUUGUUCAAAUAAAAGCUCUGACCUUACCUCUUGUUUUAGAGUACUCAUCUUAGUUGCAAACAGUCAUAUCUGAAAUCCAAGCAUUAAAUGUGUAAUGCUGAAGCUUCAUUACAGAAAGCUACUUCCCUCUAGUAUUCCAUAUGUUAACAAUGUUGAAAUGUCCGCUUAACCAUGAAACACCUGCAACAUCAUAACUAUUUUGAGCUACUUAUUUUGUCAUGUGCACGCCUAUGUUGAAACUGAUGAAAGUACUUGCGAUAAGGUGUUAUAGGACACGGGGGAUAUUAAGGUUGGAAAUGUACAAGUACCAAGAGAAUUUUGUUUCUGUUUUUGCCACGCAUCUCCGUAACUGUGGCAAAAGUGAAUUUGCUUUUAGAUUUAGAAUCAGUUCUAUUGCAUGUGUAUGUUUAGUGAUCUGAUUAUUGAUAAGAGCCUUCUCUUCCUACCUCAUGGAUUGCAGUCAAAGCGUCUCCCUUAUAGAGAUUAUACAAAGUCAACAUCUUUAAAUCUUUCUGGGUUCUCUCAUAGCUCUUGGAUCGGUGAAAUGGAGCAAGCUUCUGACAAAUCAAUAAUCAUUGGUGAAAUCCUGGAUUCUUGGACUGGAAACCUGGUCUCAGUGUCCAGAAUCAAUGAUUGUGUUACCAAAUCAACUGGUGAGUAUGGCACUGGCAAUGUUGGCUGAAGGCAAGCAAGAAAAUCGUGUUCUAGAUAAUUCGUUGCUGUGGAGGGGAAUGAGAUGUGUAUUAAACCUGCAGAAUUCGAUCUAUUUGACUAGGAAGAGCUUUCUUUUUACGAAACAAUAAUCAGGGGACGUCAAAGAAACGAAAUUGUGAUUUGGUAUCGCCUUUCAAAUGCAAAUCAUGUGAUAAUUAACCCUCCAGAGAAGUCAAAACCAAGAAAAUGGCCCCUUGAUGAUGUUUUUGUUGUCAUCUCCUUGGGUGAAUGACUGUAAACAAUUGAUGGUUUCUGGUAUCAUAGCAUCUAUUAGUCUUUUCUUUAUAUU